CAAAGGUUAGUUUAAUAAAAAUAUUAGUUUUGGGAAUUAAAGAAAUAAGAGAUUUUAUCUUUGA
Molecule: transfer RNA, 64 nt
Filed under: Pyura gangelion
Lineage: Eukaryota; Metazoa; Chordata; Ascidiacea; Stolidobranchia; Pyuridae
Description: transfer RNA-Pro
Source: RNAcentral